GUAAUUUAUUAUGUUCUCCAGAAACUGAUUUUGCAACAUUGCUAAACUAGCAGACUGGAGAGAUGCUCACAAUUCUCAGAUGAUAUGAGUGUUUCUCUGCAUGGGCAUCAGAGCUGCCACUGCUUGACAUUCCAAGAACUUCCCAGCUACAGGUUCAUCACCUUCUCCUCCCAGGAAAGACAUGUGAGAUUCUGCACAGAGACAGGAAUGUCGUGCCAAAGAGCCUGAAGUCAUGCCAGUGGUGGAGUGCUGAUUGGAACAGACUGGGUUUGGAUGACAUCUCUACUCAUCUGUAAUGGAAGCUGUGUCAAAAUAGGAAAAAUUUUGAAAAACUCUGGUGGCCUUUGGGUGAUGAAGUUAAUGAUAAUUGCCACCUUUUUUCAUGAAGUUUCUUGAACUUUGACAACUUUAGGAACAAUAAUACUGAUAUUGAUAAUAUGUCAUCUUGUUCUCAUGUUCUGUGAUUCUGAAGAAGCAAGAACUGACCACCAUGUACAUCAGCUGGAACCUUUCUGGAAUCCACACAGUGUAAUAAUCCUUAGGAAAAGCUACCUGGGAUUCAGCUGUUACAAUCAGAAGGCCACGAACACUCAACUGGAACCUUUCAUAAUCCCAGUAAAAGGAAAGAUUCAGCUCUUGUCCUGAUUGCAGACUUUGUGCUGGGGGAUGCCAGCUGCCAUAUUGUGAAGACCCUCAAGCAUCCCUGUGGAGAGGUCCCCAUGGCACAGAAAUGGACUCUCAGCCCAAAAGCCAACAAAGAACCAAGGCCUCAAGCCAGCAGCCAUGGGAAUGGGAAUGUGCCAUCUUGGAAGCCAAUCCUGCAGCCCCAGUCAAGCCUUCAGAUGACAGUAGCCCCAGCCAAUAUCUUCACUGGAUCUUACUGAGAGACUAUGUGCCAGCAUGACCCUACUAAACAACUCUCAAAUUUCUGACCCUCAGAAAUUGUGUGAGAUAAUAAUUGUUUUUUGUUUUAAUAUGCUAAGCUUUAGGUUUGUUUGUUACUCCAAAUUAGACAACUAAUUCAGAAUGCAAUAUAUACACUCAGCCAGGUCAACUCCUCUGCUUCUUGAUGCCUGGGGAGAGUGGAGAGAGUGAUGGAUCCCCAUUAUUAUUGCACCCAGGGUACACUGGUCUGGGUUUAGAAUGUCUUGUGCUUUUUCAACCUUCUGUUCCCACAUUUCUCAGUAGUAUGUAUAUUAA
Molecule: long non-coding RNA, 1200 nt
Filed under: Homo sapiens (human)
Lineage: Eukaryota; Metazoa; Chordata; Mammalia; Primates; Hominidae
Description: HSALNT0400080
Source: RNAcentral